This 520-nucleotide long non-coding RNA is filed under the name Piliocolobus tephrosceles (Ugandan red Colobus). Its description in RNAcentral is "lncRNA (ENSPTEG00000010802.1)". Lineage: Eukaryota; Metazoa; Chordata; Mammalia; Primates; Cercopithecidae. The record is from RNAcentral.
ACUUUUUUACUUUAUUUAUAUAUUCAAAAAAAAAAAAAAACACAAUUUAACAUUUAUAAUAUUAUAAUUUUUUACUUACUUUAUUUAUAUAAUCGAAAAAAAAACACAAUUUUGCAUUUAUAAUAUUAUACUUUUUUUACUUUAUUUAUAUAAUCGAAAAAAAACAGAAUUUAACACAAUGGCAGAAGGAAAUCCAUUAGCAAAUGCAAAUGUACCACUAAAUUUGAGUGAUACACAAAAUCUGAGCAAUGGCGAAUCCUCUGUAAUGCAACUUGCGAGAAGCAUUUUAAACACACCUCUAAAUACUACUAGUAAUGAAGAAUUGAACCACGGAAAUAUGACGGUUUUUUUUUUAUUUUUGGCAGUUCUUAUAAUUUUUAUGUAUACAUAUCUAAUUGUUUUACGUUGCCUAGAUCGAUUUUUUUAUGGAGUAAGAUAAUUAAAAAAUUUAAAAACAUAAUUAUAUAUUACAUUUAUAUAUAGUUGCACAAAAAUAAAUAAGUGUUAAUAAAAAUGUGCA